CUCUGUGACUCCUACGGGAGGCAGCAGUGGGGAAUAUUGCACAAUGGGCGCAAGCCUGAUGCAGCAACGCCGCGUGAGCGAUGAAGGCCUUCGGGUCGUAAAGCUCUGUCCUCAAGGAAGAAUAAAUGACGGUACUUGAGGAGGAAGCCCCGGCUAACUACGUGCCAGCAGCCGCGGUAAUACGUAGGGGGCAAGCGUUAUCCGGAAUCACUGGGCGUAAAGGGUGCGUAGGCGGUUUUUUCAAGUCAGAAGUGAAAGGCUAUGGCUCAACCAUAGUAAGCUUUUGAAACUGUUAAAACUUGAGUGCAGGAGAGGAAAGUGGAAUUCCUAGUGUAGAGGUGAAAAUUCGUAGAUAUUAGGAGGAACACCAGUGGCGAAGGCGACUUUCUGGACUGUAACUGACGCUGAGGCACGAAAGCGUGGGGAGCGAACAGGAUUAGAUACCCUGGUAG
This 452-nucleotide ribosomal RNA is filed under the name uncultured bacterium. Its description in RNAcentral is "bacterial SSU rRNA". It matches the Rfam family "Bacterial small subunit ribosomal RNA", at positions 328 to 793 of the family's 1533-position model. The record is from RNAcentral.